Nerophis lumbriciformis (worm pipefish) is the source of this 134-nucleotide small nuclear RNA. RefSeq annotates it as U11 spliceosomal RNA. Lineage: Eukaryota; Metazoa; Chordata; Actinopteri; Syngnathiformes; Syngnathidae. The record is from RefSeq and is a predicted model, not a curated record.
UAAAAGGGCUUCAACUAUGAAAAUGGUUCGGGCGCAUCUGUAAUCAGAUGUCGCUCGCGGAAUCUAAAUCAAGAGAUUUCGGAAGCAUAAUUUUUGCUACAGGGUGGGCUACUAAUCACUGUUGGGGCCCCCCA